This 738-nucleotide ribosomal RNA is filed under the name uncultured bacterium. RNAcentral's name for it is "bacterial SSU rRNA". It matches the Rfam family "Bacterial small subunit ribosomal RNA", at positions 62 to 832 of the family's 1533-position model. The record is from RNAcentral.
UCGAACGAGAAAGUGGAGCAAUCCAUGAGUAAAGUGGCGUACGGGUGAGUAACACGUGGAUAAUCUGCCCUUUAGUGGGGAAUACCGCUGGGAAACCGGCGACAAUACCGCAUAAGCUCGAGAGAGGAAAGCAGCAAUGCGCUGAAGGAGGAGUCCGCGGUCGAUUAGCUAGUUGGUGAGGUAAUGGCUCACCAAGGCUGUGAUCGAUAGCCGGCCUGAGAGGGCACACGGCCACACUGGCACUGAAACACGGGCCAGACUCCUACGGGAGGCAGCAGUGGGGAAUCUUGCACAAUGGGGGAAACCCUGAUGCAGCGACGCCGCGUGAGCGAUGAAGCCCUUCGGGGUGUAAAGCUCUUUCGGCAGGGAAGAUUAUGACGGUACCUGCAGAAGCAGCUGCGGCUAACUACGUGCCAGCAGCCGCGGUAAUACGUAGGCAGCAAGCGUUGUUCGGAGUUACUGGGCGUAAAGGGUGCGUAGGCGGUCCUAUAAGUAUGGUGUGAAAUCUCCCGGCUUAACUGGGAGGGUGCGCUAUAGACUGUGGGACUAGAGUGUGGGAGAGGAAAGUGGAAUUCCUGGUGUAGCGGUGAAAUGCGUAGAUAUCAGGAGGAACACCGGUGGUGUAAACGGCUUUCUGGACCAUAACUGACGCUGAGGCACGAAAGCGUGGGUAGCAAACAGGAUUAGAUACCCUGGUAGUCCACGCCCUAAACGAUGCAUAUUUGGUGUGGGUCAUUC